RNAcentral lists this ribosomal RNA (662 nucleotides) under Pseudomonas sp. UA-VH0118. RNAcentral's name for it is "bacterial SSU rRNA". It matches the Rfam family "Bacterial small subunit ribosomal RNA", at positions 54 to 711 of the family's 1533-position model. Lineage: Bacteria; Pseudomonadati; Pseudomonadota; Gammaproteobacteria; Pseudomonadales; Pseudomonadaceae. The record is from RNAcentral.
CAUGCAGUCGAGCGGUAGAGAGAAGCUUGCUUCUCUUGAGAGCGGCGGACGGGUGAGUAAUGCCUAGGAAUCUGCCUGGUAGUGGGGGAUAACGCUCGGAAACGGACGCUAAUACCGCAUACGUCCUACGGGAGAAAGCAGGGGACCUUCGGGCCUUGCGCUAUCAGAUGAGCCUAGGUCGGAUUAGCUAGUUGGUGAGGUAAUGGCUCACCAAGGCGACGAUCCGUAACUGGUCUGAGAGGAUGAUCAGUCACACUGGAACUGAGACACGGUCCAGACUCCUACGGGAGGCAGCAGUGGGGAAUAUUGGACAAUGGGCGAAAGCCUGAUCCAGCCAUGCCGCGUGUGUGAAGAAGGUCUUCGGAUUGUAAAGCACUUUAAGUUGGGAGGAAGGGCAUUAACCUAAUACGUUGGUGUCUUGACGUUACCGACAGAAUAAGCACCGGCUAACUCUGUGCCAGCAGCCGCGGUAAUACAGAGGGUGCAAGCGUUAAUCGGAAUUACUGGGCGUAAAGCGCGCGUAGGUGGUUUGUUAAGUUGGAUGUGAAAUCCCCGGGCUCAACCUGGGAACUGCAUUCAAAACUGACAAGCUAGAGUAUGGUAGAGGGUGGUGGAAUUUCCUGUGUAGCGNUGAAAAUGCGUAGAUAUAAGAAGGAACACCA